RNAcentral lists this non-coding RNA (78 nucleotides) under Janthinobacterium sp. TND4EL3. Lineage: Bacteria; Pseudomonadati; Pseudomonadota; Betaproteobacteria; Burkholderiales; Oxalobacteraceae. The record is from RNAcentral.
UUGAGCCGUGUGCGAUGAAAGUCGCAAGCACGGUUCUUAGGGGGGAGGGGCUCUGGUAACAGGCCCUUCCUACCCUCC